RNAcentral lists this transfer RNA (57 nucleotides) under Platynereis bicanaliculata. Its description in RNAcentral is "tRNA-Ser". Lineage: Eukaryota; Metazoa; Annelida; Polychaeta; Phyllodocida; Nereididae. The record is from RNAcentral.
GUAAUAUACUAAUGAUUUUGAAAGUCAUAUCUAGGUGUUUAAUUUCACCAUAUUACU